Molecule: ribosomal RNA, 496 nt
Filed under: uncultured bacterium
Lineage: Bacteria
Description: partial 16S ribosomal RNA
Rfam family: Bacterial small subunit ribosomal RNA
Source: RNAcentral
GAUGAACGCUGGCGGCGUGCCUAAUACAUGCAAGUCGAGCGAACAGACGAGGAGCUUGCUCCUCUGACGUUAGCGGCGGACGGGUGAGUAACACGUGGAUAACCUACCUAUAAGACUGGGAUAACUUCGGGAAGCCUGAGCGAAUACCGGAUAAUAUAUUGAACCGCAUGGUUCAAUAGUGAAAUACGGUUUUGCUGUCACUUGUAGAUGGAUCCGCGCCGCAUUAGCUAGUUGGUAAGGUAACGGCUUACCAAGGCAACGAUGCGAAGCCGAACUGAGAGGGUGAUCGGCAGCCCAGCAACUAAGACGAGCUGCCGCCUUGGAAGUGAGGCACGAGUAGGGCACCUACGGGAAUCAGCGAAAGCUUGAAGGAGACAAUCCGGGUGAGUCAGAAGGGGCUUCGGAUCGUAAAAGUAUGUUAUUAGGGGAGAACAAAUGUCUAACUGACUAUGAGAGUAUGGACGGUCCUUAAUAAGAAAGCCCCGCUAACCUGCGU